Molecule: transfer RNA, 76 nt
Filed under: Salinisphaera orenii subsp. orenii MK-B5
Lineage: Bacteria; Pseudomonadati; Pseudomonadota; Gammaproteobacteria; Salinisphaerales; Salinisphaeraceae
Also listed under: 3 other names
Description: tRNA-Thr
Rfam family: tRNA
About the family: Transfer RNA (tRNA) molecules are approximately 80 nucleotides in length.
Source: RNAcentral
GCCGGCGUAGCUCAGUUGGUAGAGCAGCUGUCUUGUAAACAGCAGGUCAUCGGUUCGAUUCCGGUCGCCGGCUCCA